This 497-nucleotide ribosomal RNA is filed under the name uncultured bacterium. Its description in RNAcentral is "partial 16S ribosomal RNA". It matches the Rfam family "Bacterial small subunit ribosomal RNA", at positions 28 to 507 of the family's 1533-position model. The record is from RNAcentral.
GACGAACGCUGGCGGCGUGCCUAAUACAUGCAAGUAGAACGCUGAAGAGAGGAGCUUGCUCUUCUUGGAUGAGUUGCGAACGGGUGAGUAACGCGUAGGUAACCUGCCUUGUAGCGGGGGAUAAUUAUUGGAAACGAUAGCUAAUACCGCAUAACAAUGGAUGACACAUGUCAUUUAUUUGAAAGGGGCAAUUGCUCCACUACAAGAUGGACCUGCGUUGUAUUAGCUAGUAGGUGAGGUAAUGGCUCACCUAGGCGACGAUACAUAGCCGACCUGAGAGGGUGAUCGGCCACACUGGGACUGAGACACGGCCCAGACUCCUACGGGAGGCAGCAGUAGGGAAUCUUCGGCAAUGGGGGCAACCCUGACCGAGCAACGCCGCGUGAGUGAAGAAGGUUUUCGGAUCGUAAAGCUCUGUUGUAAGUCAAGAACGGGUGUGAGAGUGGAAAGUUCACACUGUGACGGUAGCUUACCAGAAAGGGACGGCUAACUACGUG